UCAGGACGAACGCUGGCGGCGUGCCUAACACAUGCAAGUCGAACGGAGUUAUUAUGAAGGAUCCCUUCGGGGUGACGGACUUUAACUUAGUGGCGGACGGGUGAGUAACGCGUGAGUAACCUGCCUCUGAGAGGGGAAUAACGUUCUGAAAAGAACGCUAAUACCGCAUAACAUAUUGGAUCCGCAUGGAUAUGAUAUCAAAGAUUUUAUCGCUCAGAGAUGGACUCGCGUCCGAUUAGCUUGUUGGCGGGUAACGGCCCACCAAGGCGACGAUCGGUAGCCGGACUGAGAGGUUGAACGGCCACAUUGGGACUGAGACACGGCCCAGACUCCUACGGGAGGCAGCAGUGGGGGAUAUUGCGCAAUGGGGGGCCAACCCUGACGCAGCAACGCCGCGUGAAGGAAGACGGUUUUCGGAUUGUAAACUUCUUUUGUCAGGGACGAAAAAUGACGGUACCUGACGAAUAAGCUCCGGCUAACUACGUGCCAGCCGCCGC
RNAcentral lists this ribosomal RNA (497 nucleotides) under uncultured bacterium. Its description in RNAcentral is "bacterial SSU rRNA". It matches the Rfam family "Bacterial small subunit ribosomal RNA", at positions 24 to 518 of the family's 1533-position model. The record is from RNAcentral.